This 329-nucleotide unclassified non-coding RNA is filed under the name soil metagenome. RNAcentral describes it as "partial contains 5.8S ribosomal RNA, internal transcribed spacer 2, and large subunit ribosomal RNA". The stretch from base 1 to 120 matches the Rfam family "5.8S ribosomal RNA", at positions 35 to 154 of the family's 154-position model. The record is from RNAcentral.
GAUGAAGAACGCAGCGAAAUGCGAUAAGUAGUGUGAAUUGCAGAAUUCAGUGAAUCAUCGAAUCUUUGAACGCACAUUGCGCCCCUUGGUAUCCCGAGGGGCAUGCCUGUUCGAGCGUCAUUUCACCACUCAAGCCUGGCUUGGUGUUGGGCGACGUCCUCUUUGGGGACGCGCCUCGAAACGCUCGGCGGCGUGGCACCGGCUUUAAGCGUAGCAGAAUCUUUCGCUUUGGAAGUCGGGGCCCCGUCUGCCGGAAGACCUGCUCGCAAGGUUGACCUCGGAUCAGGCAGGGAUACCCGCUGAACUUAAGCAUAUCAAUAAGUGGAGGA